This 140-nucleotide ribosomal RNA is filed under the name uncultured eukaryote. Its description in RNAcentral is "partial 18S ribosomal RNA". It matches the Rfam family "Eukaryotic small subunit ribosomal RNA", at positions 1299 to 1458 of the family's 1831-position model. The record is from RNAcentral.
UCGUGGUGUAAACUGUCUGGUUAAUUCCGAUAACGAACGAGACCUCAGCCUGCUAAAUAGUUCUCGCUGCCCUUGGCAGUUUGUGAGCUUCUUAGAGGAACUAUUCUGUGACUAACGAAUGGAAGUUUGAGGCAAUAACA